This 265-nucleotide ribosomal RNA is filed under the name uncultured bacterium. RNAcentral describes it as "partial 16S ribosomal RNA". It matches the Rfam family "Bacterial small subunit ribosomal RNA", at positions 524 to 778 of the family's 1533-position model. The record is from RNAcentral.
AACGGGGGGGGCGAGUGUUAAUUCGUCAUAAUUGGGCGUAACGGGUUCGUAGGCGGCUUUUUAAGUUUUAAGGUUCAAAGGUCUCAACAACGAUGUCAGUUUGACCUUUAUUACUGUUAAGCUUUGAGACUAAUAGAAGAUAGUGGUACUCUUGAUGUAGAGAGUGACAUUCAACAAUAUCAAUGGGGACUAACCUUUGGGCGAAGGCAGCUAUCUAGAUUAUGUCUGACGUUGAAGGAACAAAGGUGUGGGGAGCAAACCGUUU